UUUCCGUAGGUGAACCUGCGGAAGGAUCAUUCAUAAUAAGUGUUUUAUGGCACUUUUUUAAAUCCAUAUCCACCUUGUGUGCAAUGUCAGGGUUGAUUUUUCUCUCGAGAGGAUCAACCCCAAACAUCAACUAUAUCUCAACUCCUUGUCUGAAAAAUAUUAUGUAUAAAACAAUUCAAAAUACAACUUUCAACAACGGAUCUCUUGGCUCUC
Molecule: unclassified non-coding RNA, 213 nt
Filed under: plant metagenome
Description: partial contains small subunit ribosomal RNA, internal transcribed spacer 1, and 5.8S ribosomal RNA
Source: RNAcentral